RNAcentral lists this ribosomal RNA (293 nucleotides) under uncultured bacterium. RNAcentral's name for it is "partial 16S ribosomal RNA". It matches the Rfam family "Bacterial small subunit ribosomal RNA", at positions 505 to 796 of the family's 1533-position model. The record is from RNAcentral.
GUGUCAGCCGCCGCGGUAAUACGUAGGGUGCAAGCGUUAUCCGGAUUUACUGGGCGUAAAGGGUCGUGUAGGUGGUUUUCCGCAUCGAACCUGAAAGCCCGAGGCUUAACCUCGGCGUUGGGUUCGAGAUGGGGAGACUUGAGGGAGACAGAGGUAAGGGGAACUCAUGGUGGAGCAGUGAAAUGCGUUGAUAUCAUGAGGAACACCAAAGGCGAAGGCACCUUACUGGGUCUCAUCUGACACUCAGACACGAAAGCUAGGGGAGCGAAGCAGAUUAGAUACCCGUGUAGUCC